Molecule: non-coding RNA, 1750 nt
Organism: Camellia sinensis
Lineage: Eukaryota; Viridiplantae; Streptophyta; Magnoliopsida; Ericales; Theaceae
Source: RefSeq, a predicted model, not a curated record
UAUUAAACCACCCCCCAACUCUUCCCAACCCGACACCGCUGCUCCAUCGGAAUUCGAAACCCAUCUACACUUCCUUUCGUGUUGGUGUUCGGCAUUUAUAUUAUAUUAUCACGAAGGUCCAUUAUUACAGUUCAAUUGAUGCCGAUUCUCGUGGAAAAUACCCCCCCCCCCCCCCCCCAACUCUUCCCAACCCGACACCGCUGCUCCAUCGGAAUUCGAAACCCAUCUUCACUUCCUUUCGUGUUGGUGUUUGGCAUUUAUAUUAUAUUAUCAUGAAGGUCCAUUAUUACAGUUCAAUUGAUGCCGAUUCUCGUGGAAAAUUAUAUGCUGGAAGCGUUUCUUAUCGGUAAUCUUCAAGACCUGUGUUUUCCGGCCACAGACUGUGAGUCUGGUCUCUACUGUGGCCAAGCUAUAAAGCCCAUUUUAUUGCAGCAGCACCAUAGUGUCUUCUGGUGGAAGCUUUGAGAUGGGUUUUUUCAGCCCUGGUAGUUCCCGAAAUCAAUACUUAGGAAUAUGGUGCCGUUGUAUGGGUUCCCAAUAGAGAAAUCCCACUCCUCGAUCCGUCAAGCGUCUUAACUAUAAUCAACCCUGGAAUUCUUGCCCUUGUCAAUGGUACUGGCAGCGUCAUUUGGUCUCCCAAUAUGACAGGAUCUACACGGGACCCUGUUGCACGACUGAUGGAGUCUGGAAAUCUUCUGGUGGAAGAUGCCAACGAUAAGUCUGGGCUUUUUCUGUGGCAAAGUUUUGAUUAUCCGUGUGAUACUCUUUUACCGGGCAUGAAGCUUGGAAAGAACUUUGUAAUGGGCCUAGAGCGCCACCUCUCGUCCUAGAAGAGCAGUGAUGAUCCAGCUCAAGGUGAGUUUACAUACUGAUGUGAUCCUCAAGGAUACCCACAAAAUAUUCUGAGUAGGGGUUCUGUGGAACUGUUCCGAACUGGACCAUGGAAUGGUAUCAGAUUCAGCGGGAGACCAAGCCUUAAACCUGAUACAAUCUUCAGAUAUGAGGUGGUUUACACUAAAGAGGUGGUGUAUUAUCAUUAUGAACCCCUCAGCUCAGUUGUUUCAAGGUUUGCUCUGAGUCAUAAUGGUGUUGUCGAGCGCUGGAUAUGGAUUGAUCGAACACAGGAAUGGGUCCUUUACUCUACUGGACCAACCGAUACUGGGAUAACUAUAAAUUGUGCAGUCCGAACGGUAAUUGUAACAUUGGAAACUCACCGGCCUGUGGUUGUUUGAGUAAAUUUGUGUCCCAGAACCAAACUGAAUAGGGAAAUGGAUAUUGGUCUAAUGGGUGUGUUCGGAGGACACCGUUGGAUUGCCAUAAUGGAGAUGGAUUUGUCAAGUGUUCGGGCUAUAAAAUGUCGCACCCACGGAACUCCUGGUUCGACAGGAACAUGACACUCAGGGAAUGCAAGAUAGUAUGCUUGAAAAACUACUCUUUGUAUGGCUUACGCAAAUUUAGACAUAAGAAGAGGUGGAAGUCGCUGCUUACUUUGGUUUGAUGAGUUGAUUGAUAUGAGAGAGUUAAAUGCAAAUGAGCAACACGUUUACAGAAGGAUGGCUUCCUCUGAGUUAGGUCAGAAUUCAUACCAAACACAUAGAUUAGUGAACAUAGAUUGAUUAGAUUAUACAUAUGUAAGACCCAUGUAGUUAACUAUAUUGAACCUUUACAUUUCUUCCUCAAAAAUUCCUCACUGUAUUACUUUUCUACAUCUAACUACAUUUUAGCAAAAGGAGAGUUAAUUUUGGUUUCA